GUCUGCAGACGGCCGUGGCUCCUCUGUUCUUCCCGAGGCUACAGCAACAGCAGAGGUGUUCCUGGGGAGAUGGCGGAACAGCACGGAGCACCCGAACAGGCUGCAGCUGGCAAGAGCCAUGGAGACCUUGGGGGCAGCUACAAGUGAUCUUGUACGAACUAGAGAACUUCCAAGGCAAACGCUGCGAGCUCUCGGCCGAGUGCCCCAGCCUGACCGACAGCCUGCUGGAGAAGGUGGGCUCCAUCCAAGUGGAGUCCGGGCCUGGCUGGCAUUUGAGUCCAGGGCCUUCCGCGGGGAGCAGUUUGUUCUGGAGAAGGGGGAUUAUCCUCGCUGGGAUGCCUGGUCCAACAGCCGUGAUAGUGACAGCCUUCUGUC
This 375-nucleotide long non-coding RNA is filed under the name Homo sapiens (human). RNAcentral describes it as "long non-coding RNA NONHSAT084398.2". Lineage: Eukaryota; Metazoa; Chordata; Mammalia; Primates; Hominidae. The record is from RNAcentral.